AACUUACCAGGUCAAGACAUGGGCGUGAUUGACAGGCUAAUGACUUUUCUCGAUUCCAUGGAUGGUGGUGCAUGGUCGCACUUAGUUGGUGCAGUGAUUUGUCAGGUUUAUUCCGGUAACGAACGAGACCUCGGCCUUGUAAAUAGCUAUGCUGCUUACAGGGACAUUGGCGGCUACGCCAAGGAAGCUCGAGGCAAUUGCAGAUCUGGAAUGCCCUUAGAUGUCCUGGGUCGCACGCGUGCUACAAUGACGCCACGAACGAGCUUGCGUGAUGAAAGUUACGCAUAAUCAGCAGUCGGCGUCUUAAGGGAUAGUCUCUUGUAACUGUGGGACUCCAACUAGGAAUGUCUCGUAAGCACAAGUCAACAUCUUGUGUUGAUUACGUCCCUGCUCUUUGUACACACCGCCCGUCGCUCCUACCGAUCGAGUGUUUAGGUGAAUUUGAUGGACGUAAGGAAGUCAAAUAAACCUGAGCACUAGAGAAGGAGAAGUCGAACAUC
Molecule: ribosomal RNA, 500 nt
Filed under: uncultured Myrionecta
Lineage: Eukaryota; Ciliophora; Litostomatea; Cyclotrichida; Mesodiniidae
Description: bacterial SSU rRNA
Rfam family: Eukaryotic small subunit ribosomal RNA
Source: RNAcentral